AUGACUCUUUUAUAGCCACCACCUUGGCUUUAGGGACCCGGUUGAAAGAAACAAAAAGGCUAUUAGAACAAAGCAAAGGGAAAGAAGAUGGGUGUUUGACUAAGCUGACAUCUUUCUUUGAAUCCGCAGAGGAAGAACUGAGAGUUAUUACAGAGGAACAGCUCAGGAUCAUGGACUUGGUGAAGAAAACCACUAAUUAUUACCAAGCUGGAGCAUUGAAAGAGAGGAACCUGUUUCAGCUGUUUGUUAUAAUCCGUGAUUUCUUAGGGAUGGUUGAUAAUGCUUGUAGUGAGAUCGCGAGGACUCAACGGAAGCAGAGACCAGCAGCCACGGUAGCAGCAGGAGCAUCAACGUCGACAGCAGCAACACCGACCGCCCCUGCACCGCAGAGAAACGCGGUUAGGUUUCCGAUUCUGCCCCCAAAUUUCAUGUCAGAGCAUUCAAGGUACAGUUCAAGUGACUCAGAUUCAGAUUCUUGAUAGCAAGGAAAAAUGAGAUUCUCUGCUUUUGUUGUACGUAUAUAGAUGUUAGGGAAGCUUGUUGAGUUUUCUUUUUUUAAGAUUCUUUAGGUUAUUUGGAAGUGGCUUUAGGUUAUGGACUAUCAACCUAACAUCAACCAGGAUCUACUCAAUCCUAGAUCCACAUUCAACAAUAUAGAAGAGCAUGAAAGAGAUCUGGGUAGAACACCUCACCUUAGCCUAGAUCCGGAUCUGGAUCUGAGAAUAGAGGGUAAGAGAAACGGGAUCUGAGGUCUAUGACACCACGCGGCCACCACCACCACUCGCGGCUGUUCCCGGCGAGGAG
This 804-nucleotide long non-coding RNA is filed under the name Brassica rapa (field mustard). RNAcentral's name for it is "long non-coding RNA (BRAP_LNC002398)". The record is from RNAcentral. Lineage: Eukaryota; Viridiplantae; Streptophyta; Magnoliopsida; Brassicales; Brassicaceae.